GAACUUAAGCAUAUCAAUAAGCGGAGGAAAAGAAACCAACUGGGAUUGCCUCAGUAACGGCGAGUGAAGCGGCAUCAGCUCAGAUUUGAAAUCUGGUUCUUUCAGAGCCCGAGUUGUAAUCUGUAGAGGAGUCUUCGGGUUUGGAUCUGGCCUAAGUUUCUUGGAACAGAACGUCAUAGAGGGUGAGAGUCCCGUAUGAGGCCAGCUACCUAUUCCCAUGUGAAGCUUCUUCGACGAGUCGAGUUGUUUGGGAAUGCAGCUCAAAAUGGGUGGUAAAUUUCAUCUAAAGCUAAAUAUUGGCGGGAGACCGAUAGCGCACAAGUAGAGUGAUCGAAAGAUGAAAAGCACUUUGAAAAGAGAGUUAAAAAGUACGUGAAAUUGUUGAAAGGGAAACGCUUGCGAUUAGACUUGCGCUCAGGUGAUCAACCGGUGUUCUCACCGGUGCACUCUCCUGCUUGCAGGCCAGCAUCGGUUUGGGCGGUUGGAUAAAGGCCCUAGGAAUGUAGCUGCCUUCGGGCAGUGUUAUAGCCUAGGGUGUAAUGCAGCCAGCCUGGACCGAGGACCGCGCUUCGGCUAGGAUGCUGGCAUAAUGGUCGUAAGCGACCCGUCUUGAAACACGGACCAAGGAGUCUAACAUCUAUGCGAGUGUUUGGGUGGAAAACCCAAGCGCGUAAUGAAAGUGAACGUAGGUGAGAACCCCUAAGGGUGCAUCAUCGACCGAUCUUGAUGUCUUCGGAUGGAUUUGAGUAAGAGCAUAGCUGUUGGGACCCGAAA
RNAcentral lists this ribosomal RNA (774 nucleotides) under uncultured fungus. Its description in RNAcentral is "eukaryotic LSU rRNA". It matches the Rfam family "Eukaryotic large subunit ribosomal RNA", at positions 30 to 821 of the family's 3401-position model. Lineage: Eukaryota; Fungi. The record is from RNAcentral.